RNAcentral lists this ribosomal RNA (265 nucleotides) under uncultured archaeon. RNAcentral's name for it is "partial 16S ribosomal RNA". It matches the Rfam family "Archaeal small subunit ribosomal RNA", at positions 717 to 982 of the family's 1478-position model. The record is from RNAcentral.
ACACGACUACAUUAGAUACCCGCGUAGUCCUAGCCGUAAACGAUACUCGCUAGGUGUCGGCCACGGUGCGACCGUUGUCGGUGCCGUAGGGAAGCCGUGAAGCGAGCCACCCGGGAAGUACGGCCGCAAGGCUGAAACUUAAAGGAAUUGGCGGGGGAGCACCACAACGGGUGGAGCUUGCGGUUUAAUUGGAUUCAACGCCGGAAAUCUUACCGGGACCGACAGCAACAUGAAGGCCAGGCUGAAGACUUUGCCGGAUUAGCUG